GACGAACGCUGGCGGCGUGCUUAACACAUGCAAGUCGAACGGAAAGGCCCUGCUUGCAGGGUACUCGAGUGGCGAACGGGUGAGUAACACGUGGGUGAUCUGCCCUGCACUUCGGGAUAAACCUGGGAAACUGGGUCUAAUACCGGAUAGGAGCCAUUUUUAGUGUGAUGGUUGGAAAGUUUUUUCGGUGUAGGAUGAGCUCGCGGCCUAUCAGCUUGUUGGUGGGGUAAUGGCCUACCAAGGCGGCGACGGGUAGCCGGCCUGAGAGGGUGGACGGCCACAUUGGGACUGAGAUACGGCCCAGACUCCUACGGGAGGCAGCAGUGGGGAAUAUUGCACAAUGGGCGCAAGCCUGAUGCAGCGACGCCGCGUGGGGGAUGACGGCCUUCGGGUUGUAAACUCCUUUCGCUAGGGACGAAGCUUUUUGUGACGGUACCUAGAUAAGAAGCACCGGCUAACUACGUG
Molecule: ribosomal RNA, 465 nt
Filed under: uncultured bacterium
Lineage: Bacteria
Description: partial 16S ribosomal RNA
Rfam family: Bacterial small subunit ribosomal RNA
Source: RNAcentral